RNAcentral lists this ribosomal RNA (327 nucleotides) under uncultured Chloroflexota bacterium. RNAcentral's name for it is "bacterial SSU rRNA". It matches the Rfam family "Bacterial small subunit ribosomal RNA", at positions 1039 to 1382 of the family's 1533-position model. Lineage: Bacteria; Bacillati; Chloroflexota. The record is from RNAcentral.
UGCUGCAUGGCUGUCGUCAGCUCGUGCCGUGAGGUGUAUGGUUAAGUCCUGCAACGAGCGCAACCCUCGUCGCUAGUUGAUUUCUCUAGCGAGACUGCCCCGCAAAACGGGGAGGAAGGUGGGGAUGACGUCAAGUCAGCAUGGCCUUUAUAUCUUGGGCUACACACACGCUACAAUGGAUGGCACAAUAGGUUGCAACAGCGCGAGCUGAAGCUAAUCCCCAAAGCCAUCCUCAGUACAGAUUGCAGGCUGAAACCCGCCUGCAUGAAGUCGGAGUUGCUAGUAACCGCAAAUCAGCAUGUUGCGGUGAAUACGUUCUCGGGCCUU